GACGGAGGAUGCAAGCGUUAUCCGGAAUUAUUGGGCGUAAAGCGUCCGCAGGUGGCUGUUCAAGUCUGCUGUCAAAGCGCAGAGCUUAACUCUGUAAAGGCGGUGGAAACUGAAUAGCUAGAGUAUGGUAGGGGUAGAGGGAAUUCCCGGUGUAGCGGUGAAAUGCGUAGAUAUCGGGAAGAACACCAGUGGCGAAAGCGCUCUACUGGGCCAAGACUGACACUGAGGGACGAAAGCUAGGGGAGCGAAA
RNAcentral lists this ribosomal RNA (250 nucleotides) under uncultured bacterium. RNAcentral describes it as "partial 16S ribosomal RNA". It matches the Rfam family "Bacterial small subunit ribosomal RNA", at positions 524 to 773 of the family's 1533-position model. The record is from RNAcentral.